This 450-nucleotide ribosomal RNA is filed under the name uncultured prokaryote. RNAcentral describes it as "bacterial SSU rRNA". It matches the Rfam family "Bacterial small subunit ribosomal RNA", at positions 355 to 796 of the family's 1533-position model. The record is from RNAcentral.
UCGGGAAUUUUGGGCAAUGGGCGCAAGCCUGACCCAGCGACGCCGCGUGAGCGAUGAAGGCCUUCGGGUCGUAAAGCUCUGUCAGAAGGGAAGAGGGGAGCGAGUGCGAAUAGUUCUCGUUCUUGACGGUACCUUCAAAGGAAGCGCCGGCUAACUCCGUGCCAGCAGCCGCGGUAAUACGGAGGGCGCGAGCGUUGUUCGGAAUCACUGGGCGUAAAGCGCGUGUAGGCGGUUAGGACAGUCGGAUGUGAAAUCCCGAGGCUCAACCUCGGAACUGCAUUCGAAACUACCUGGCUAGAGUCUCGGAGAGGAAGGCGGAAUUCCCGGUGUAGGGGUGAAAUCCGUAGAUAUCGGGAGGAACACCAGUGGCGAAGGCGGCCUUCUGGACGAUGACUGACGCUGAGACGCGAAAGCGUGGGGAGCAAACAGGAUUAGAUACCCCCGUAGUCC